UGGGGAAUAUUGGACAAUGGGCGAAAGCCUGAUCCAGCCAUGCCGCGUGUGUGAAGAAGGUCUUCGGAUUGUAAAGCACUUUAAGUUGGGAGGAAGGGCAGUAAGCGAAUACCUUGCUGUUUUGACGUUACCGACAGAAUAAGCACCGGCUAACUCUGUGCCAGCAGCCGCGGUAAUACAGAGGGUGCAAGCGUUAAUCGGAAUUACUGGGCGUAAAGCGCGCGUAGGUGGUUCGUUAAGUUGAAUGUGAAAGCCCCGGGCUCAACCUUGGAACUGCAUCCAAAACUGGCGAGCUAGAGUAGGGCAGAGGGUGGUGGAAUUUCCUGUGUAGCGGUGAAAUGCGUAGAUAUAGGAAGGAACACCACUGGCGAAGGCGACCACCUGGGCUCAUACUGACACUGAGGUGCGAAAGCGUGGGGAGCAAACAGG
This 429-nucleotide ribosomal RNA is filed under the name Pseudomonadota bacterium. Its description in RNAcentral is "Proteobacteria bacterium partial 16S ribosomal RNA". It matches the Rfam family "Bacterial small subunit ribosomal RNA", at positions 355 to 776 of the family's 1533-position model. The record is from RNAcentral. Lineage: Bacteria; Pseudomonadati; Pseudomonadota.